GCCACUUGUACCUCUUGCUGCUAGGUCUUCGUCGUCAAAACGAACAGAAGACACGGAAGAAGUAAUCGCUGAAGCUAGGGAGGCUGUCAGCUAUUACCUACAAGAACUUGGUGUUUCUCAUAAGGAAUCCAUCGAAGUAGCCCUCAACUCACCUAAUUACGUUAGCAUGCUGAUAGAUAGCGUCCGUGAACUGGAUGAGUUUUCCUUAUGGAAUUCCACUGACUUUGAAAAAGCAUAUGACCCGG
RNAcentral lists this unclassified non-coding RNA (245 nucleotides) under Hevea brasiliensis (rubber tree). Lineage: Eukaryota; Viridiplantae; Streptophyta; Magnoliopsida; Malpighiales; Euphorbiaceae. The record is from RNAcentral.